UUCUGGUUGAUCCCGCCAGACCCCACCGCUAUCGGGAUGGGGUUAAGACAUGCUAGUCGUGCGCCUCCUAGCCAUGGUGGAGGCGCGGCGCACAGCUCAGUAGCACGUGGCUAACCUACCCUUAGGACGGAAACACCCCCGGGAAACUGGGGUCAAUUUCCGAUAGGUGAGGAAUCCUGGAAUGGGUCUUUGCCUAAAGGGCGUUUAGGGCAUGCUUCUAGGCGUUGCCUAAGGAUGGGGCCGCGGCCGAUCAGGUUGUUGGUGAGGUAAUGGCUCACCAAGCCUUUAACCGGUUCGGGCCGUGGGAGCGGAAGCCCGGAGAUGGGUGCUGAGACAAGAACCCAGGCCCUACGGGGCGCAGCAGUCGCGAAAACUUCGCAAUAAGCGAAAGCUUGACGGGGCUAUCCCGAGUGCCGUCUGCUGAAGAUGGCUUUUACCUAGUGUAGAUAGCUGGGAGAAUAAGGGGAGGGCAAGUCUGGUGUCAGCCGCCGCGGUAAUACCAGCUCUCCGAGUGGUGGGGAUGAUUAUUGGGCCUAAAGCAUCCGUAGCCGGCUGGACAAGUCCCCUGUUAAAUCCAACGAUCCAAUCGUUGGUCUGCGGGGGAUACUGUCCGGCUUGGGGGCGGGAGAGGCCGCCGGUAUUUCCGGGGUAGGGGUGAAAUCCUAUAAUCCCGGGAGGACCGCCAGUGGCGAAGGCUGUCGGCUAGAACGCGCCCGACGGUGAGGGAUGAAAGCUGGGGGAGCGAACCGGAUUAGAUACCCGGGUAGUCCCAGCUGUAAACGAUGCAGGCUAGGUGUUAGGGCGGCUACGUGCCGCUCUAGUGCCGCAGGGAAGCUGUUAAGCCUGCCGCCUGGGGAGUACGGUCGCAAGGCUGAAACUUAAAGGAAUUGGCGGGGGAGCACCACAAGGCGUGAAGCUUGCGGUUUAAAUGGAGUCAACGCCGG
Molecule: ribosomal RNA, 944 nt
Filed under: uncultured archaeon
Lineage: Archaea
Description: bacterial SSU rRNA
Rfam family: Archaeal small subunit ribosomal RNA
Source: RNAcentral